GACGAACGCUGGCGGCGUGCCUAACACAUGCAAGUCGAACGGAAAGGCCCUGCUUUUGUGGGGUGCCCGAGUGGCGAACGGGUGAGUAACACGUGAGUAUCCUGCCCUUGACUUUGGGAUAACUUCAGGAAACUGGGGCUAAUACCGGAUAGGAGCUCCUGCUGCAUGGGGGGGGUUGGAAAGUUUCGGCGGUUGGGGAUGGACUCGCGGGUUACCAGCUUGUUGGUGGGGUAGUGGCUUACCCAGGGUUUGACGGGUAGCCGGCAUGGGAGGGUGACCGGCCACAAUGGGACUGAGGUACGGCCCAGUGGCCUACGGGGGACAGAAGUGGGAAGUAUUGCACAGUGGGCGGGAGCCUGAUACGGCGGCGCCGCGUGCGGAAUGACGGCCUUCGGGUUGUAAACCGCUUUCGCCUGUGACGAAGCGUGAGUGACGGUAAUGGGUAAAGAAGCACCGGCUAACUACGUG
RNAcentral lists this ribosomal RNA (468 nucleotides) under uncultured bacterium. RNAcentral's name for it is "partial 16S ribosomal RNA". It matches the Rfam family "Bacterial small subunit ribosomal RNA", at positions 28 to 507 of the family's 1533-position model. The record is from RNAcentral.